GGAUGUGAGGGCAAUCUGGCUGUGACAUCUGUCACCCCAUUGAUCACCAGGGUUGAUUCGGCUGAUCUGGCUGGCUAGGCGGGUGUCCCCUUCCUCCCUCACCGCUCCAUGUGCAUCCCUCCCAAAGCUGCGCGCUCGGUCGAAGAGGACGACCUUCCUCGAAUAGAGGAGGACUGGUCUUCAGUCAAGGGUAUACGAAUAGCUGCACUCCCCUGCUAGAACCUCCAAACAAGCUCUCAAGAAUAUGGUAGAUCAUAUUUUUCAAAGACAGAAUAGAAUAUUUAUUGUUUAGAUAACAACUUC
RNAcentral lists this small nuclear RNA (303 nucleotides) under Jaculus jaculus (lesser Egyptian jerboa). RNAcentral's name for it is "7SK RNA (ENSJJAG00000003782.1)". It matches the Rfam family "7SK RNA". From Rfam's summary of the family: 7SK was discovered as an abundant small nuclear RNA in the mid-70s but a possible function has only recently been suggested. Lineage: Eukaryota; Metazoa; Chordata; Mammalia; Rodentia; Dipodidae. The record is from Rfam by way of RNAcentral.